RNAcentral lists this ribosomal RNA (365 nucleotides) under uncultured eukaryote. RNAcentral's name for it is "partial 18S ribosomal RNA". It matches the Rfam family "Eukaryotic small subunit ribosomal RNA", at positions 592 to 976 of the family's 1831-position model. The record is from RNAcentral.
CAAUAGCGUAUAUUUAAGUUGUUGCAGUUAAAAAGCUCGUAGUCGGAUUUUGGCUGAGAACGAUCGGUCCGCCGUUAGGUGUGCACUGAUUGGUCUCAGCUUCCUGGUGAGGAGGUGUGCUUCACGGCCACUUAGUCACCGUGGUUACUUUGAAAAAAUUAGAGUGUUCAAAGCGGGCUUACGCUUGAAUAUAUUAGCAUGGAAUAACACCAUAGGACUCCUGUCCUAUUUCGUUGGUCACGGGACGGGAGUAAUGAUUAAGAGGAACAGUUGGGGGCAUUCGUAGUUCAUUGUCAGAGGUGAAAUUCUUGGAUUUAUGAAAGACGAACUUCUGCGAAAGCAUUUGCCAAGGAUGUUUUCAUUGA